GGGCGGUUGGUAUAAUGGAAUUAUACUGGUCUCCAAAACCAGAGAUCGGGGUUCGAUUCCCUGACCGUCUGCUA
Molecule: transfer RNA, 74 nt
Filed under: Caudoviricetes sp.
Lineage: Duplodnaviria; Heunggongvirae; Uroviricota; Caudoviricetes
Description: tRNA-Trp
Rfam family: tRNA
About the family: Transfer RNA (tRNA) molecules are approximately 80 nucleotides in length.
Source: RNAcentral